This 403-nucleotide ribosomal RNA is filed under the name Fusobacteriota bacterium. RNAcentral describes it as "Fusobacteria bacterium partial 16S ribosomal RNA". It matches the Rfam family "Bacterial small subunit ribosomal RNA", at positions 355 to 776 of the family's 1533-position model. Lineage: Bacteria; Fusobacteriati; Fusobacteriota. The record is from RNAcentral.
UGGGGAAUAUUGCACAAUGGAGGGAACUCUGAUGCAGCGACGCCGCGCGAACGAAGAAGGCUUUCGAGUCGUAAAGUUCUUUUAUAUGGGAAGAUAAUGACGGUACCAUAAGAAAAAGCCCCGGCUAACUACGUGCCAGCAGCCGCGGUAAUACGUAGGGGGCUAGCGUUGUUCGGAAUCACUGGGCGUAAAGGGUUCGCAGGCGGAAAUGCAAGUCAGGUGUAAAAGGCAGUAGCUUAACUACUGUAAGCAUUUGAAACUGCAUAUCUUGAGAAGAGUAGAGGUAAGUGGAAUUUUUAGUGUAGCGGUGAAAUGCGUAUAUAUUAAAAAGAAUACCGGUGGCGAAGGCGACUUACUGGGCUCAUUCUGACGCAGAGGAACGAAAGAGUGGGUAGCAAACAGG